This 303-nucleotide ribosomal RNA is filed under the name uncultured bacterium. Its description in RNAcentral is "partial 16S ribosomal RNA". It matches the Rfam family "Bacterial small subunit ribosomal RNA", at positions 507 to 807 of the family's 1533-position model. The record is from RNAcentral.
AGCAGUCGCCGCGGGAAUACGUAGGUGGCAAGCGUUGUCCGGAAUUAUUGAGCGUAAAGGGCUCGCAGGCGGUUUCUUAAGUCUGAUGUGAAAGCCCCCGGCUCAACCGGGGAGGGCCAUUGGAAACUGGGAGGCUUGAGUAUAGGAGAGAAGAGUGGAAUUCCACGUGUAGCGGUGAAAUGCGUAGAGAUGUGGAGGAACACCAGUGGCGAAGGCGACUCUUUGGCCUAUAACUAACGCUGAGGCGCGAAAGCGUGGGGAGCAAACAGGAUUAGAUACCCCAGUAGUCCCUGUCUCUUAUAC